UGGGGAAUAUUGGACAAUGGGCGCAAGCCUGAUCCAGCCAUGCCGCGUGAGUGACGAAGGCCUUAGGGUUGUAAAGCUCUUUUGGCGGGGAAGAUAAUGACGGUACCCGCAGAAUAAGCUCCGGCUAACUUCGUGCCAGCAGCCGCGGUAAUACGGAGGAUCCGAGCGUUAUCCGGAUUUAUUGGGUUUAAUGGGUGCGCAGGCGGGAUGUUAAGUCGGCGGUGAAAUUUUGCAGCUCAACUGUAAAAGUGCCUUCGAUACUGGCCUCCUUGAGUGUGGAUGAAGUCGGCGGAAUUUGGUGUGUCGCGGUGAAAUGCUUAGAUAUCACGAGGAACUCCGAUUGCGCAGGCAGCUUACUAAGCCACAACUGACGCUCAUGCACGAAGGCGUGG
This 392-nucleotide ribosomal RNA is filed under the name uncultured bacterium. RNAcentral's name for it is "bacterial SSU rRNA". It matches the Rfam family "Bacterial small subunit ribosomal RNA", at positions 355 to 764 of the family's 1533-position model. The record is from RNAcentral.